CUUUCUUUGCUGGCGACCGGCGCACGGGUGAGUAACACGUAUCCAACCUGCCCUUUACUCGGGGAUAGCCUUUCGAAAGAAAGAUUAAUACCCGAUGGCAUAAUGAUUCCGCAUGGUUUCAUUAUUAAAGGAUUCCGGUAAAGGAUGGGGAUGCGUUCCAUUGGGUUGUUGGUGAGGUAACGGCCCACCAAGCCUUCGAUGGAUAGGGGUUCUGAGAGGAAGGUCCCCCACAUUGGAACUGAGACACGGUCCAA
RNAcentral lists this ribosomal RNA (254 nucleotides) under uncultured bacterium. RNAcentral's name for it is "partial 16S ribosomal RNA". It matches the Rfam family "Bacterial small subunit ribosomal RNA", at positions 79 to 334 of the family's 1533-position model. The record is from RNAcentral.